RNAcentral lists this ribosomal RNA (497 nucleotides) under uncultured bacterium. RNAcentral's name for it is "partial 16S ribosomal RNA". It matches the Rfam family "Bacterial small subunit ribosomal RNA", at positions 28 to 507 of the family's 1533-position model. The record is from RNAcentral.
GAUGAACGCUGGCGGCGUGCCUAAUACAUGCAAGUCGAGCGAACAGAUAAGGAGCUUGCUCCUUUGACGUUAGCGGCGGACGGGUGAGUAACACGUGUGUAACCUACCUAUAAGACGGGUAUAACUUCGGGAAACCGGAUCUAAUACCGGAUAACAUUUUGAAGCGCAGGGUUCUAAAGUGAAAGUUGGUUUUUCUAUCAGUUAUAGAUGGACCCGCGCCGUAUUAGCUAGUUGGUAAGGUAACGGCUUACCAAGGGAAGUAUACGUAACCGACGUGCGAGAGUGAUCGGCCACACUGGAACGGAGACACGGUCCAGACUCCUACGGGAGGCAGCAGUAGGGAACCUGACGCAAUGGUCGGAAGCCUGACGGAGCAACGCGACGUGAGUGAUGAAGGGUUUGGGUUCGUAAAAAUCUGUUAUUAGGGAAGAACCAAUUUGUACGUAAAUGUGCAGGUCUUGACGGUACCUAAUCAGAAAGCAACGGCUAACUACGUG